UAUCUUUGCAUAGUAUUUUGUAAUUUCCCCCAUAAUAAUAAUGCUUGUUGCAUUACAUAUUUAUAUUAUAUUGUUAAUCAUAAUAUAAAUAGCUUUCACCAGAAUAUCAGCAACAUGCAAGCAUAUCUCUAUCUUUAUAUUCUUACCAUUUUUCUUCAUCUGUUAUCAACACCUAAUAUUAUGCUUCAUACACUCACAACAAAUCUUUGUUGAAUAAAUAAAUGUUCCAAAUUAUGCAAAAUAAACUAAGCUGGUAAAGAGAGGAAGAGAAUUUUCAGGAAGAAGAAGCACUUAUAUCAACAUUUCUGAAGAUUAUGGAUACAAAUAUCUGUAAAUAGAUUCAGGAGGCAAGAGUAGUAAAAUGUGGACCUAAGUAUUAGUAAAGUGCUCAUUAAUGAAGGAUGUUUUAUUCUAUGCUAAGGAGUUUGGAUUUUAUUCUAAAGUCAAUGAGAACUAAAUGACAGAUUUUAUAAUUUGGUAAGUUACAUGUUUUAGAUACUAAGGUACUAAAUAUAUUAGAAUUAGCAAGAUUUGAAACUUUAAUCAGUGUUAGAAAUCAAAAGACAAUGGAUGGUAAAAGAAAGUAGGAAAUCUAAGAUUAUACAUGCCCUUCUAAAUUAGAAUCUUGAUGUCUUUUUUUUUUAGAGAUUUAAGCAUUGCAAAUUGAUUCCAAUCAUAAAACAAGUAUAUAUAUAUACACACACAUAUAUGAAUUUUAAAAUUACAUAUAUAAAUAUAUACAAAAAUAUACAUAUAUGAAUUUAUUUAAAAAAUUUGACCCUGUCUACUCAUUAUCUACAGGUAUAUUUCUCUCUUACCAUUUAUAGUCGAUUUCUUGAAAGAUAUGUACAUGUCGUUACCUUGCGUUCACCCCGCAACUGACUUCUGUAUAAUUUUCUACUCACCACCAGUGAAAAUGCACCUGUCAAAGAAGUUCCACCAUUGGAAAUAAAAAUGAAAAAGAUUUUGCAAAGGCAAUUAAUAAUGAGUCAUCAGAGAGAAUGAAGCCACCAAGGAAAUCUAAAGUUUCAAAAACUUGGGAAAGGUCGACAAUGUCAGACAUCCAAGGGAUGACUGAAAAUAUUCUGCUAAUAUGCCAUUGGUGAACAAUACAGAGAUUCCAAAAUGAAAGAAAAGUCAUCCUCUCUGGAAAUGUGAAGCAUAACUAAAGUUUGACCAACAAGUUGUAGAAGUGAAAGGCAUCAAAUAUAAUAACCAAAGAAAACAGAAAAAUACCACACGUCCGGUAAUUCCUCAGCUGGCAGUAAAAACAGAUGAUUGAUUUAAACCUUUUCUCUACAUACAUUCUCAGGCUGGAUUAUAGUGGCAUAAUCUCGGUUCACUGCAACCUCUGCCUCCGGGGUUUCAGCGAUUCUCCCACGUCAGCCCGCUUAGGAGCUGGGACUACAGGCACGUGCCAACGUGCCCAGCAAAUUUUUUGUAUUUUUAGUAGAGACGGGGUUUCACCAUGUUGUCCUGGCUGAUCUCGAACUCCUGACCUUAAAUGAUCCACCCGCCUCGACCUUCCAAAGUUCUGGGACUACAGGUAUGAACCACUGUGGCCUGCAAAAUUAAAAAUUUUAACUUGAAAACUGGAAAACUACAACUCAGAAGCUAUAAUCAUAUAAAUUGUUCAUUGGUAGUUUAUUGGCACAUACCAAUAUAACCUAAAGUAUUUUGUCACCUGAAUGUAAAACAUGGUGAGAUAUAUAUCCUCCUUUAGCUACUUUCUUUACUUUUCUCCUUGAAAUGUAACAUUUUAUAGAUAAUACUCAGGGCAAUCUUUAAAAAUAUUGUCUGUGAUGUACCCUGUGAUUUAAGCCAAGUGAAAAAAAAUAUUAUAAAAUUUGUAUUGUAGAAAUACGACUCACAACAUGUAGAAAUGUUAGUAAAGUUUGUUUAACAAGUUUUAUUAAAAGGAAUGCAACUGUGCUUACAAGCCUAUGGUAGUUCCCCAUGUUCCUGAAGUUAAGGAGAUGCCAGAUCCUGAGAAAUAAGAAUAAUAAAAUGUUGAGUUUGCUCUAGAAAGAAGCAUGAAUUUUAAUACCAUGCAUGAACAAAAAGUAAGUUAUCAGAAAUGGGUUACAACACUAUGGGGUGAUCAGAAUAGGCCUCAUCAAGAUGAUGACAUUUGAGCAAAGACUAGAUAAUAAAGGAAUUAUCAAGAAGAUAUCUUGAGGGAAAAUAUUAUGGGCUGAG
RNAcentral lists this long non-coding RNA (2199 nucleotides) under Homo sapiens (human). RNAcentral describes it as "HSALNT0319059". Lineage: Eukaryota; Metazoa; Chordata; Mammalia; Primates; Hominidae. The record is from RNAcentral.